CAGGACGAACGCUGGAGGUGUGCCUAAUACAUGCAAGUCGAACGGGAGCCCUUUUUUGAAGCUUCGGCAGAUAAAAAGAUCAGCUCUAGUGGCGAACGGGUGCGUAACACGUAAAUAACCUGCCCUUUAGACUGGGAUAACCCCGGGAAACCGGAGCUAAUACCAGAUGUCCUUCUCAUUCGCAUGUUUGAGAAAAAAAUCCCGCAAGGGGCUAAAGGAGGGAUUUGCGGCCGAUUAGUUUGUUGGUAAGGCAACGGCUUACCAAGACUACGAUCGGUAGCUGGUCUGAGAGGACGAUCAGCCACACUGGGACUGAGACACGGCCCAGACUCCUACGGGAGGCAGCAGUAGGGAAUAUUGCGCAAUGCACGCAAGUGUGACGCAGCGACACCUCGUGAACGACGACGUCCUUAGGGAUGUAAAGUUCUGUCAGCAGGGAAGAUAAUGACGGUACCUGCAGAGGAAGCCCCGGCUAACUACGUGCCAGCAGCCGCGGUAAUACGUAGGGGGCAAGCGUUGUCCGGAUUUACUGGGCGUAAAGCGCAUGUAGGCGGCUACAUAAGUCAGGUGUUAAAGGCAGCGGCUCAACCGUUGUACGCGCUUGAAACUGUGUGGCUAGAGUACAGGAGAGGAAAAUGGAACGCAUAAUGUAGCGGUGAAAUGCGUAGAUAUUAUGCGGAACACCAGUGGCGAAGGCGAUUUUCUGGACUGUAACUGACGCUGAGAUGCGAAAGCGUGGGGAGCGAACAGGAUUAGAUACCCUGGUAGUCCACGCUGUAAACGAUGUUCAUUAGGUGUGGGAGGUAUUUGACCCCUUCCGUGCCGAAGCUAACGCAUUAAAUGAACCGCCUGGGGAGUACGGUCGCAAGAUUAAAACUCAAAGGAAUUGACGGGGGCCCGCACAAGCAGUGGAACAUGUGGUUUAAUUCGACGAUACACGAAGAACCUCACCUAGGCUUGACAUCCUUGGAAUCCUCUAGAGAUAGAGGAGUGCCUUCGGGAGCCGAGUGACAGGUGGUGCAUGGUUGUCGUCAGCUCGUGCCGUGAGGUGUUGGGUUAAGUCCCGCAACGAGCGCAACCCUCGUCCUAUGUUGCCAGCACUUCGGGUGGGAACUCAUAGGAGACUGCCCCGGAUAACGGGGAGGAAGGUGAGGAUGACGUCAAAUCAUCAUGCCCCUUACGCCUAGGGCUACACACAUGUUACAAUGGGUGGUACAACGGGUAGCUAAGCAGCAAUGUGGAGCUAAUCCUUCAAAACCACCCCCAGUUCGAAUUGCAGGCUGCAACUCGCCCGCAUGAAGCCGGAAUUGCUAGUAAACGUGGAUCAGCUAUGCCGCGUUGAAUACGUUCCCGGGCCUUGUACACGCCGCCCGUCACAUCAUGAAAGUCGGAUACA
RNAcentral lists this ribosomal RNA (1396 nucleotides) under uncultured organism. RNAcentral describes it as "16S ribosomal RNA". It matches the Rfam family "Bacterial small subunit ribosomal RNA". The record is from RNAcentral.